UCCUGCCGGACCCGACUGCUAUCAGAGUGGGACUAAGCCAUGCGAGUCAACGCAGCAAUGCGUGGCACACGGCUCAGUAACACGUAGUCAACAUGCCCAGGGGACGUGGAUAACCUCGGGAAACUGAGGAUAAACCGCGAUAGGCCAAGGUUUCUGGAAUGGACACUGGCUGAAACCUACAUGGCCCCUGGAUUGGACUGCGGCCGAUCAGGCUGUUGGUGAGGUAAUGGCCCACCAAACCUGUAACCGGUACGGGCUUUGAGAGAAGGAGCCCGGAGAUGGGCACUGAGACAAGGGCCCAGGCCCUAUGGGGCGCAGCAGGCGCGAAAAUUCUGCAAUAGGCGAAAGCUUGACAGAGUUACUCUGAGUGAUGCCCGCUAAGGGCAUCUUUUGGCACCUCUAAAAAUGGUGCAGAAUAAGGGGUGGGCAAGUCUGGUGUCAGCCGCCGCGGUAAUACCAGCACCCCGAGUGGUCGGGACGAUUAUUGGGCCUAAAGCAUCCGUAGCUUGUUCUGCAAGUCUUCCGUUAAAUCCACCUGCUCAACAGAUGGGCUGCGGGAGAUACUACAGGGCUAGGAGGCGGGAGAGGCAAGCGGUACUCAGUGGGUAGGGGUAAAAUCCUCUGAUCCACUGAAGACCACCAGUGGCGAA
RNAcentral lists this ribosomal RNA (650 nucleotides) under uncultured archaeon. RNAcentral's name for it is "bacterial SSU rRNA". It matches the Rfam family "Archaeal small subunit ribosomal RNA", at positions 12 to 670 of the family's 1478-position model. The record is from RNAcentral.